AUUGAACGCUGGCGGCAGGCCUAACACAUGCAAGUCGAGCGGCAGCGGGAAGUAGCUUGCUACUUUGCCGGCGAGCGGCGGACGGGUGAGUAAUGUCUGGGAAACUGCCCGAUGGAGGGGGAUAACUACUGGAAACGGGAGCUAAUACCGCAUAACGUCGCAAGACCAAAGAGGGGGACCUUCGGGCCUCUUGCCAUCGGAUGUUCCCAAAUGGGAUUAGCUAGUAAGUGGGGUAACGGCUCACCUAGGCGACGAUCCCUAGCUGGUCUGAGAGGAUGACCAGCCACACUGGAACUGAGACACGGUCCAGACUCCUACGGGAGGCAGCAGUGGGGAAUAUUGCACAAUGGGCGCAAGCCUGAUGCAGCCAUGCCGCGUGUAUGAAGAAGGCCUUCGGGUUGUAAAGUACUUUCAGCGGGGAGGAAGGUGUUGAGGUUAAUAACCUCAGCAAUUGACGUUACCCGCAGAAGAAGCACCGGCUAACUCCGUGCCAGCCGCCGCAGUAA
This 506-nucleotide ribosomal RNA is filed under the name uncultured bacterium. Its description in RNAcentral is "partial 16S ribosomal RNA". It matches the Rfam family "Bacterial small subunit ribosomal RNA", at positions 30 to 523 of the family's 1533-position model. The record is from RNAcentral.